GUCACACGUGCAGCAUCAGAGGAAAAAAGAUAAAGAGGAGUCCAAGAGAAGAAUAAACAGGCGUUGGAGUUUCAGAUGGAGAAAGAGAGAAAGCACUAGAG
Molecule: long non-coding RNA, 101 nt
Organism: Hippoglossus stenolepis (Pacific halibut)
Lineage: Eukaryota; Metazoa; Chordata; Actinopteri; Pleuronectiformes; Pleuronectidae
Exons: 2
Source: RefSeq, a predicted model, not a curated record